AACCAGCACCUCAAGUGGUCAGGAUGAUUAUUGGGCCUAGAGCAUCCGUAGCCGGUUCUGUAAGUUUUCGGUUAAAUCCAUGCGCUCAACGCAUAGGCUGUCGAAAAUACUGCAGAACUAGGGAGUGGGAGAGGUAGACGGUACUCGGUAGGAAGGGGUAAAAUCCUUUGAUCUAUUGAUGACCACCUGUGGCGAAGGCGGACUACCAGAACACGUUUGACGGUGAGGGAUGAAAGCUGGGGGAGCAAACCGG
This 253-nucleotide ribosomal RNA is filed under the name uncultured archaeon. RNAcentral describes it as "partial 16S ribosomal RNA". It matches the Rfam family "Archaeal small subunit ribosomal RNA", at positions 474 to 727 of the family's 1478-position model. The record is from RNAcentral.